RNAcentral lists this long non-coding RNA (5183 nucleotides) under Selaginella moellendorffii. Its description in RNAcentral is "long non-coding RNA (SMOE_LNC001232)". Lineage: Eukaryota; Viridiplantae; Streptophyta; Lycopodiopsida; Selaginellales; Selaginellaceae. The record is from RNAcentral.
UGUCCAAUCUUGGCGUCGAGAACUAUUGCUUUGAAUGUUCCUCCCAGAGUUAGAACAGAUCUCCAAGAGGGUUGGAGCUUUUCAAAGUCACGAAACUCUGGUCCUCUUCUUCUCAACGCAUUUUCCUUCUCUAUCGCUGCGAAAUUUUGCACCUGGAAAGAUUGGUGUUGGUCUUUUCAUAAGAGAAAAACUCAGAAAAAACUCACAUGGAGAUCGGACGAAAGAUCAUAAGAGAUGAAGGACAGAUCGCUCUUCGUCUCUUUCAUGGCAGCGAAUAGCAGCGGCUUCAGCUUGGACGAAGCCUGAGCGGUCGGCAGUUGGUAGACAGCUACUUGCCAACCAUGUCGAAACGUUGAUAAUAGCAAUCCUAUAAAACACAACGUGAUCUUUGAAAAACGAAACACAUGGCUAAUUCUUCCACAUACCAAUUACCUGACUUUCGGCUAAGGUGAUGCAAGAAUACUUUCCCAAAGGCCUGAACACUCUUUUGACCUGUCCAGGCCUUUAUCAUGAACAACAUACUCUAAUUAUCUGGAUGAGCUUUGAAGUUUUACUCCCCCCAGGCCUCAUCCACAGCAACCUCUCCAUCAAAGUCACCAGCUGUGAGUUUAAUGCUUUACUUAACUUUGAUCUAAUACUGAACAUUCUUAUUGAAUAUUGAACAGGAGGCAUCCCUGGUAAAAAAAAAUAUUCAAUAAGAAUGUUCAGUAUUAGCCUCCUGUUAAACACCAUCCUGUUUCAGUCUCUCUCCACCUAGCUGGCAAUGAUGUGGUAGAUUACAUGGCACUUCUCUCUUUCCACUCCCGUCUGCACUUGCACCUGUCUGUCCAAAGACUGUGGUCUUUCUUGGCUUUUGACUGGGACCUGACAUCCUUGGAGUUUGGAAGCAUUUUUUCCAUUGUUUGUUUUUCACAGAGAAAGAAAAGAACUUGAACAGCGAGACAAUGGCAUAGCUAUCUCCACCACAUUUGAUUCCUCUCCAUGAUGACAAAGCUAAGCAAGGACCAUUGCCAUCCAUCUGCAAAGUUCCAGUGGAUCCCCAAGAGCGUGCUUGAAAGCUUGCAAGGCAUCCAUUUGAAAAAUAAGACUAAGGAUGAUCCAAGAGGAGAAGGCUAUGUAGCAUUUACUAGCUCCAGGCUGUGCAAAGAUGAAGAGCAUGCCUAUAUUCCAUGAUGCCAGAGCUAACAGUACCAUUGAGCUCCACAAACUCAUAGAAACCUCCAUAUGAUCGUUGUUGCUACCCCUUGAGAGCAAAAAACAAGAGCGCUUCCAAUCUAGCUGACGUUGCUGCUGCUGCUUGGGUCGACCAGCAUUUCCAUUUCAAAGAAGAACCCUAGAGAAGAGGGUAUCCCAAAGUCCCCCAAUCCAGAGGAGCAAAGCAAAAGGAGAAAGUUAGCAUUGGACACAAGGGAAAAAAACCCUCUUCUCUCCCUUCUCUGUCCUGUGAAAAAAGACUUUGGUCCAAGUUAAAGUGAUUGGAAGUAAUGUUGUGUGGCAGCAUGAGAGAGAGAGAGAGAGAGAGAGAGAGAGAGAGAGAGUUGGACGGGAGUGGAAAGAGAGAAGUGCCACAUCAUUGCCAACUAGGUGGAGAGAGACUGAAAUAGGAUGGUGUUUAACAGGAGGCGGGAUGCAUCCCGGAGCAUAUAAUGGACUGUGGUUUGUAGCAAAUUGUCUAGGUAAUGAGGACGAGUAGCAAGAUUUAUUAAUUAGAUAUUAUUUUGAAGGAUUGUUGAAAAAUUAUAAACAUGAACCAUCAACCCUCUUUUCCUUAAGGAAAAUCUAAAGAGCUUGGUUGAGCUACUUGCACUUCCAUGUUGGAAUUUCUCAUUUGCCAGUAUAAAAGUCCAACAGAGGGAUCACAACCCACAAUCUCUACAACUCGCAUUCUAUCAUGUCUUCGCAGUUUAUUAUCUGCUUAGUCUUUGCUCAUGUAGCGCUUGCAGGGACAAGCAACGCUGUAAGCUAUUAGUUUUUUUUAAAAUGCCCACACUAGAACUAUAGCUAAUCAGACUCAAUCUGGUUUUGAUGCAGGCAUGCAACUUUGAGGAUAGCUGUGACAAGAACUCGGAGGUUAUAAGCACUUCCAAUUGUUACAAGCCCAAUGGCCAGCUCCAAAGGAGCAGCAUCAAUCUUAACGAUUGCUUCAGCAACAAUGGAGGAACCCUCAACUGUGGCAGAAACUUUAGUGCCUCGUGCCAGAAUGUAGUGAUCACCCGUGGUACCAUCCUCCAGCUCCAAGUCCUGCUUCCAUCAAUCCCCAGUGCUAUGGCAAUGGCCAGUAUUAUACCUCAGUACUGAUUAACAAGUGUGUGCAGAACAACAGUGGAUUCCUCCAGCAGCAAGUGAGUGAAGUUUCUCAUGAUAAAGCGAUGUUAUCUUAAUAUUGUUUUUUGAUUUUAGGGCUCUUGCAUCUUAACAUUGAGGCACCGCUCUUUCUUCACGGAUGCCACAACGAUUUGGCUCGGGGUUAUUCCCCAAGAGCUUUUGCACACUUUUCUUCCGUGUCACAAACAUGCUCAGUCUUGUUUUUCGCAAAGUAGUGAUUUACCACCUUCUUGUUCAAGGACCACCAUUCUAACAACGAUGCCGAUCAUCACAGCAUUAGCUCACAGCAGUGCCCUGGAUCCUUCGAGAAAGAAUUCCCGAUUUUCACACUAACAAGAGAACCAAGCAAAGUUCACGAAUCUUCGAGCUUCCUCCUCCACUGACCAGCUCUUGGAAUCGACUCCAAAGUGCAAAAUCCGUGAGUUAUCCCCGUCAAGCAGCCAUAUACUGUUGCUCCCAUCAGUCUCUACGGCUUUGCAAUUUUAGGGUUCUUGCAUCUUAACAUUGAGGGCGCCGCUCUUUCUUCGCGGCUCGCUUAUACGCGGAUGCCACAACGAUUUCUCGCGGCUUCCAUGGCACGGGUCAGCGAUUCGUUGUUCGCUGCCUUGUUCGACUGAUGGACGCCACAGCGCUUUCUUCUCUCUCUUUUUUUUCUCUCGCGCAUUUAGCACUGGGGCACUGCGAAGAUUCUAUCGCGUGUGCUUUGCCCGUUCAGCUAAUGCUACAUUGCUAAUCUUCUUUCGCAAUGUCCUGGGAUUUCUUUCAUCUCUUCUUCUCUGGACAAAGAUCUCAUCUCAUCAUGUAGGAGAGAUUCUUCAUUCUUCUCGCUUUUUCGUGCAUCUUUUCUGCGAUUAAUUUCCAGUGCGUGUCGCUCAUUCACACAAUGCACAGAUUAAAUCUUGUCGAUCUCUCCUGUGGCUUUCUGAGAGAUUCACGCGAUGAAUCUUCUCAUGCAGUUGGCAGGAGAACAAAAAACCAUCUUUCCUUCGAUUUCGAUGACACACCAAGCACCAUACUUGCAUUCGAACGGGUAUGAUUAAUAAAAAACGCCGUUUAAAACGCGUGUAUAAUACGGCGUUUAAACACCAAGAAUAUUUUUAAAAACCCUAAAGAAUAUGCUUUCUUUUACUUAGGAUUAGGGCUCAUGUAAAAUCAGGGUUCGAAAAAAACCGUAAAAUCAGGGUUCGAAUAAAACUGAAAACCAUUAUACCCGUUCGAAAAAAAGCUAAACGGGUAUUAAACGUUCGAUACCCGUUCGAAUCCGGUUGCGUUCGAAUGUUCGGAUGCAAGUAUGCCAAGGAUCAUCGUUUAGGACUAUUUGUUUGCAAAAAAAGUAUAGCGAUGGUACAUCUGUACAGUGCGUUUCUCUAGAGAAAACUCGCGCAAAAACCCCCAGAGAGAAUGAGAAAAGAGACCUUUUUCUUCUCACUGUCACUUGAUCCGCUUGAGCUUCUUUAGUACGUCCUUGACGUUGGGGCCUUUGUCCCACGAAGCAAACUGGCCCGCGACCUUCUUUAUCAGCACUCCAGCGUUAAAAAUCGCGGUGGAGUCUCUCAGAUUACUCGGCUGUGGCAAUCCAAACACCACCCGGUUCACGUCUUCGUCGACUUGCAGGCUGUAGACUUCGCUAAAAAUCUGCAAAGCAAGAACAACUUGUAAGCUCUUACUGCUACCAGAAACGAGAGUCUAGCGAGCUUACUUCACACAAUCUCUGGUCUGCUUGUAUGUGAGGCUCACGAGCCCGCGAAACAACGUUUAUGACGAGGAUUCCUUCGGGUUCCAGAGCAGCUUUCGCACUGCGGAGGAAUGUUUCGAGAAGGAAUUCCUCUGGAGGGCAGCUUAGCCCAUUACUGCAACGGAGUUUUCUGAUCACUUCGACAAAGAUAAACAGAAAAGACAGAACCGCACCUUGAAAUCCAUUCGUUGGCGUUAGUAAAGCCUCCGACUGGAUGAGGUUGGGAUUACGUUUAAAGAACAGGCGUCAAAAGAAGGCCUUUUUUUUGUCGGAUGAUACAACAUCCUCUACAAGCAUGGUACCCGUUAAUGGAGAAUUGAUCUGAACAAAGGAGAGAAAAGUCAAUGGUUUCUGUUAGUCGAUGCACGGCAUUGUUACCUCCUCCAGCAGAGUCCCUUUACAAACUCCAUCGUGUGGCAGCAGGAAACUGUAGAUGUUCGCAACCAAGAGUUAGAAACCUUGACAAGGAAAAGCAGGAAAGAGAAGUGAGGAACUUACGGUACUCCUGAGUCACAAUCUAAUGGUACAAGCUCUCUCACUAGUGGGGACAGGAGGUUCUGACCAUUUGGAAAGUGGGAAUAUGCAUAAGGUGAGUGGAAACGAAUACCUGAAGUUCAGUAGCGGUCUGACAGUCAGUUUCGAGGUAAAUCUGUCCGGAAAGAAGAAACACAGGUUAUUUCCGAAUGAAUCGAUGAAAGUUUUAUAGUCAGCAAGCCCUACCAUGAUAAGCCAAGCGGCCUUGGCACUUUCGACCACUUGCCAUUGUCCUUCCUCGGAUGAAUUGAGCAACUCGUGAUCCUUGGCCUGUCGCAAAAGUAUCAAGAACUUGGAGGCUUUCGAAAUGAAAUCGAACAUACCUUUGGCACCAAAAACACAGCGCACGCAUCAGGCAUGACUGCCUGUCCAAUCUUGGCGUCGAGAACUAUUGCUUUGAAUGUUCCUCCCAGAGUGAGAACAGAUCUCCGAGAGGGUUGGAGCUUUUCAAGGUCACGAAACUCUGGUCCUCUUCUUCUCAACGCAUUUUCCUUCUAUAUCGCUGCGAUAUUUUGCGCCUGGAAACAUUGGUGUUGGUCUUUUCAUAAGAGAAAAACUCAGAAAAAAACUCACAUGGAGAUUGGAAGAA